CGAGUCGGUCAGGCGGUCGCGUCGCCGGCCCUGCGCGUGCGCGGGAUCGGUGCCGAGGAACGUCCGGGCUCCGCAGGGCAGGGUGGUGGCUAACGGCCACCCGGAGUGAUCCGAGGGACAGUGCCACAGAAAACAGACCGCCGUGCCGAACCGCUGGCCCCGGGCCGGCAGGCGGUGCGGUAAGGGUGAAACGGUGGUGUAAGAGACCACCAGCGGCCGGGGUGACCCGGCCGGCUUGGUAAACCCCACCCGGAGCAAGCUCGAGCAGUCGACGACCGAGGGCGGCCCGCCCGAUGCCGACGGGUAGAGCGCUGGAGCCGGUCAGCAAUGGCCGGCCGAGAUGGAUGACCGCCACCGUGGGGGCGGCGGUGCCUCGCACCGCGGCACCACGGGACAGAACCCGGCGUACCGACCGACUCGUCCA
RNAcentral lists this RNase P RNA (424 nucleotides) under Actinomycetales bacterium. Its description in RNAcentral is "RNase P RNA component class A". It matches the Rfam family "Bacterial RNase P class A". Rfam says of the family: Ribonuclease P (RNase P) is a ubiquitous endoribonuclease, found in archaea, bacteria and eukarya as well as chloroplasts and mitochondria. Its best characterised activity is the generation of mature 5'-ends of tRNAs by cleaving the 5'-leader elements of precursor-tRNAs. Lineage: Bacteria; Bacillati; Actinomycetota; Actinomycetes; Actinomycetales. The record is from RNAcentral.